CGUUAGCGGCGGACGGGUGAGUAACACGUGGGUAACCUACCUAUAAGACUGGGAUAACUUCGGGAAACCGGAGCUAAUACCGGAUAAUAUUUCGAACCGCAUGGUUCGAUAGUGAAAGAUGGUUUUGCUAUCACUUAUAGAUGGACCUGCGCCGUAUUAGCUAGUUGGUAAGGUAACGGCUUACCAAGGCGACGAUACGUAGCCGACCUGAGAGGGCGAUCGGCCACACUGGAACUGAGACACGGUCCAGACUCCUACGGGAGGCAGCAGUC
This 272-nucleotide ribosomal RNA is filed under the name uncultured Staphylococcus sp. Its description in RNAcentral is "partial 16S ribosomal RNA". It matches the Rfam family "Bacterial small subunit ribosomal RNA", at positions 90 to 355 of the family's 1533-position model. Lineage: Bacteria; Bacillati; Bacillota; Bacilli; Caryophanales; Staphylococcaceae. The record is from RNAcentral.